Long non-coding RNA from Puntigrus tetrazona (Sumatra barb), 851 nucleotides. RefSeq lists it as uncharacterized. NCBI's taxonomy places the organism in Eukaryota, Metazoa, Chordata, Actinopteri, Cypriniformes, Cyprinidae. The record is from RefSeq and is a predicted model, not a curated record. The transcript is spliced from 4 exons.
AUGGGUUGGGCACUACAAGUCCCAGCAGCCCCAGGGCUCUUAAAAGGAAGUAGUAAGGUUGUGUUUGUUCUUUUCACUUCCGGUUUUUUGGUUUUGGGGAAAGGUGGCGUGGAAUGUAGAGUGGCAUGUAGAUGUUACUUUGGGGAUAUGAGCGCAGAUAAUCAUUGCCGCCAAAUACCGCGGGAGCGUUGCUGAGAACUGAGAAUAUGCUGUACCGACUAAUAUGGUGUGACUGGAUUAUUGCCUGACUGUGGCCUGACCAUCUUGUCGAAAUAGUGGAUGUGAAAGGGAUGCAUGGUUACCGUUUACUUUAUGGUUAAAAUAUUGUUUUGUUUCGCUUUCUUUAUUACCUUUUGUUUGUAAGUGUGGAGAUCCGGAGUGGUAGAGAUUGAGGUACUAGUGAAUGUGUUUGGUUGUUGAUUUUAUGUUUGUGUACCUUGUAUUGCCCACUGUUAAUUGUGUUUUGUUUAGACGGCGGUGGUUAUCGGGUUGCCCUCACAGUGUGGAUGACAGUGGUAAGGUGGCUGGGAUUGUGUGGUGGUUUGGUCACUGUAUUUCUGUGUCUUCUGUAGGUUUGCAGUGUGAUUGCUGUGAGCUUGGCUGCUGUGAGAACACUUUGGCUUCUAGGCCCUUCUUUCACUUUCUUAGGCAACCUGUGGCCACCUAGGGCCAGUUUUCUUUUAUUUCUUUUUCUUUAUUUUGUGGGCAUUUACAUCCAAAAGGGUAUGUGAUAUGUUUUAACAUGUUUGACUUGUCUGUAAUAAAAAUGUAUUCGAUUCUUUAAAGUCACCUCAUGGCCCCUUCUUUUGGUUAUUGACACAGUGAUUGGUCAUCAUACCACAAUUGGCGUA